This 222-nucleotide long non-coding RNA is filed under the name Elaeis guineensis (African oil palm). Its description in RNAcentral is "long non-coding RNA (EGUI_LNC072824)". The record is from RNAcentral. Lineage: Eukaryota; Viridiplantae; Streptophyta; Magnoliopsida; Arecales; Arecaceae.
UACUUUUUGCUUUGCUUUACAUACUUGUAAUCGGGCUCCGGCCCAAUUUUGUAGACUUAAUGAAGUUAAGUAUUUUCAACUUCUUCCCUCCGUACGUUAAAAUGCACUCUGAUUUAGAGUCGUAGAGUCGUAGAGUCGUAGGCCCGACGUACCUUACUCGGUAUCAUCCCAAGUCGUUAGUCGAGAUAGUCGGUAACGUGCGCCGUGGAAAAGGCAAAGUGA